GGACUACCGGGGUAUCUAAUCCGGCUCGCUCCCCUGGGUUUCGUCCCUCACCGUCAGGCCCGUUCCAGCUAGAUGCCUUCGCCAUCGGUGGUCCCCCUGGGAUUAUAGGAUUUUACCCCUACCCCAGGAGUACCUCUAGCCUCUCCCGGCCUCAAGACAGGUAGUAUCUUUAGAAUUCCCACGCUUAAGACGUAGGAUUUACCCAAAGACUUGCCUAUCCGGCUACGGACGCUUUAGGCCCAAUAAAAGCGGCCACCACUAGGGCUGCCGGUGUUACCGCGGCGGCUGGCACCGGUCUUGCCCAGCCCUUAUUCCUGCAACUAUUUACGCUGCAGAAAAGCACAUACAAAUGUAUGCGCACUCGGAGUACCCUCAUCACACUUUCGUGCAUUGUGAAGGUUUCGCGCCUGCUGCCCCCCGUAGG
This 424-nucleotide ribosomal RNA is filed under the name uncultured euryarchaeote. RNAcentral describes it as "partial 16S ribosomal RNA". The record is from RNAcentral. Lineage: Archaea; Methanobacteriati; Methanobacteriota.